AUUAUAUAAAAAAUGGAAAAAAAAUGUAGAAAAUAAAAAAAAAUAAAAAAAAAUUCAUAUCCGGAUCGUACAACGACACCCUUGAUGCAAAACAUGUUUGCGCGCCUGACGAUGUUAAGACACACGACACACACUUCCCUUGAGAAAAGAUGAUAGCCUUCACGAGUGUCUUACUAUUUCUUUGCAGAGCCCCUCUUCUUGAUGACGACGCGUACACUGUCAGCUACACUUUGCAGUGUCUCACUUAAAUUUUUCUCUAUCUUUGUAUCUCUCCAUUUCAGAUAAAUUGUUAUCUUUCCAAGGGUUGAGGAGAACAUGGUCGUGGUUCAAGUGAAGCCACUACAGCCACUCCCUGACAAGCCUUCCACACCGACAGACAGUGGCAGCAGACACACAAGAGACGAUGGUGUGGUGGACAAGAGGAUGCAGGGAGACAGCAGACAGAAUGGAAGCUACAGAUGAAAGAAGAGCAGGUCAAGCCAUGGCAGCAGACACAUAGACAGACAGAUUGGAUAAGAAAGAAGUAUUAUUUAGUGAGACAGGCCCACUGGAAGCUGUCAGAGUGCUGUGGCAUGUGGCAAGAACCAAGUGUUCAGGAGCACACACUGUCCCUUCACCAGUCAGCAGAUCUGGGCGGCUUGGGAGCCUCACUACAAACUGAAGACCCGUUCACUUGAAGGACAGUUGGAGUCGGACACAAGAUCCAAGAGGGAGUUAUUUUUAAACGAGAGCUUCAGGCAGAAAAUUCGAGUGGAUUUUCAACUCUAAAAAUAACUUUUUUGGGGGGAUAUUUUGAACCUUCUUUAUCUUGAAAAAUAACUCCAGAUAUUAUGACUCUAGCUGGAAGUUGACCUGAGCAAUGUAGGGUUUGCUGCAGUGAGAUUACCAAGGCACGAGUGUCUGGGAUUUAAAGAUGAUGGAUAUGUGUCCUGUGUGCUGCUGUGCUGGGAGGAGAGGAGCAGCAGCAGUCGUGGGGCUCUGUUGCUGCUGUCACUGGUGCAGCUGUUCACUCCUGCAGCUACCUUCCCUCAACAUACUGUGUCUUCCCUCACCUGCAAUGAACAACUAUGAACAAUACUUCUCCUGCGAUGAGGAACAGUGAAUAACCUCUCUCUCUCUCUCUCUCUCUCUCUCUCUCUCUCUCUCUCUCUCUCUCUCUCUCUCUCUCUCUCUCUCUCUGUCUCUCUCUCUGUCUCUCUCUCUCUCUCUCUCCACAGUAUGUCCCCCACAGUAUGUUUACAAACCCACAGUGACUCUCCACAGCCCCUCACCAACAAUUGUCUCCUUCACACACACACACACAAAUGUUAGAAUCUUGUAGUGUCUACAACAAGGAAUGGAACCGAAAUCGACAA
This is a long non-coding RNA of Scylla paramamosain (green mud crab), 1355 nucleotides long. RefSeq lists it as uncharacterized. The transcript is spliced from 4 exons. Lineage: Eukaryota; Metazoa; Arthropoda; Malacostraca; Decapoda; Portunidae. The record is from RefSeq and is a predicted model, not a curated record.